Long non-coding RNA from Nothobranchius furzeri (turquoise killifish), 1911 nucleotides. Lineage: Eukaryota; Metazoa; Chordata; Actinopteri; Cyprinodontiformes; Nothobranchiidae. The record is from Ensembl.
AUGAGACGGAGUGAGUCCAGUAGCCUUCUCGGUGGGCAAAGCUUUGACGGUGCAGGACGAUCUCAGGGGACAAGGCCAAUAAGCCCCUUGCAAAACAAACAGGGUCAAGGUUUUGAGUCAGGAACUCUGCCAAGAAACUUCAAAUCACUUGCAAGUUCAGUCAAAUCCCAGUCCAACACAGUUUCUGAUUUUAGAAGUGCUUUGCGGAAAAACGAAGUUAACAGUUCUUCAAGUGGACGGGGUUCUGAUGUUAGAAGCUCAUCUCCUCCAAGGAGGGAUCAUAAUUCUUCAUUUCAAAUUCCUCGUAAUACUGAAGGCAUCACUAGUUUAUCUCAAGGCCACGGAGGCAGCAGUCGGGCUUCCUCUCCAUCUAGAAGAACCUCUGAACGUAUGCGUGACAGUCACUUUUCUUCACUACCAAGUAGGAAUUUUAGCAGAAACCUCCUUCGUAAAUCUGAAUCAGCCAUGUCUCUAAAUGAACAUAGCCACCAUGGACGCUGUGGUUCUCCAAUUAGAGAAGGAUAUAGUAUUGAAGGUCAGACUGAGUUGCGUAACCAGUUGUGUAGAAAUGGACUGAAUGAUCAAGAAUAUGGACAAGUUGAAGAACCCACCAUGCCUCUGUCUAGACAAGGCAAUGAUAGACAGAGACCAUCCAUACUUCGCAAAACUGAAUCAAACACUGUUGGUAGCAGUCGAGAUUGGGGCAGCUGUUCGUCCUCUCCAGGAAGAAGGGGCCAUGAGACCCUCAAACAGCAUCAGCUUAGGAGUAGAGACCUUAGUAGUGGUUCAGUAAAUGGUUAUGGGCAUAAAACACGCAACUCUUCACCUUCCAGGAGAAACUAUGAAGCACCUUCUCAAUCUUUGCUUCACAAGUCUAAAGUUAACAGCUCUGUCAGAAGCCAUGACAGCUACAGUGCCUCAAGUCUAAGGAAAACCUAUGAUGCUUCUGACCAACGCACAUCUACUAAUAUAAAAACUGGUAGCUCCCUAAGCAGCAGGAACCAAAGCAUCAGCAGCUACUCUCCUUCUCGAAAAGGCAAUAAUGACCCACCAGGGUAUUCAUUGCUCCAAAGUGCCACCAAUGGGGACUCCAGUUAUUCAUUUCAGAGAAAAAACUCUGCUAUUGAAACCAAAUCAAACUCAAGUAGCUCACCACACACACGUCAAGGCUCUACUCAUUCCCAACUUUGUUCCUCCUUAUCUUGGUCCACUUCAAAACAAUCAACGAUUGGCAACCGAACUGCUCAUGUCACUUUGGAAACAACAAGAAAUUCUAGUAGCAUCAGAUCUGCACAUGGCAUGUACAGAGAAGAGGAUUGCCACCCUGCUCCUAAAAACAACCCCUCCGUCCGUGCACAAAGCCCUUCUCCUUCGCCUCAGAUUGACAGGAGGUCCUCUCACCGUACACAAAGUCCCUCUCCUUCAUCUCAGAUUGACAGGAGGUUCCCUCACCGUACACAAAGUCCCUCUCCUUCACCUCAGAUUGACAGGAGGUCCUCUCACCGUACACAAAGUCCCUCUCCUUCAUCUCAACUUGAUAAGAGGCCUUCCCACUGGAAACAGAGCCCUUUUCUGCCUCCAUCUGACAACAGGCCUUCCCAUCAAGCACAGAACCGUCCUCCACUGGCUCAGUUUGACAAGAGGCCUUCCCAUCGAGCACGCAGCUCUUCUCCACCACCACAAAUUCAAAUCCAAAGCCACACUUCUUCACAGAGCUCCUUGGAGUCCUCAGAGUCGGGUCGAACCUCAGUGGGAUCAACAGGACGAAACAAGGAGGAGUACGCCAUGAUGGCCGACCUGCCGAAGAUCAAAAUGAUCCAUCAGGUGGAAGAACCAGGCCACGCAGGGCGGCCACUGACCAACCAGCCUAUGCGGAGGCAGGAACUCUUUAAACCUGCCAGGUCAGACUGA